GCCGGGUGCGGUGGCGCACGCCUGUCAUCCCAGCGGCUCGGGAGGCUGAGGCAGGAGGAUGGAAGCCAGCCUCAGCCAUUU
Molecule: small RNA, 81 nt
Filed under: Marmota monax (woodchuck)
Lineage: Eukaryota; Metazoa; Chordata; Mammalia; Rodentia; Sciuridae
Source: RNAcentral